UACAGAGGGUGCGAGCGUUGUUCGGAAUUAUUGGGCGUAAAGGGCGCGUAGGCGGUGCGGUAAGUCACCUGUGAAAUCUCCUGGCUCAACUGGGAGCUUGCAGGCGAAACUGCCGUGCUGGAGUGUGGGAGAGGUGCGUAGAAUUCCUGGUGUAGCGGUGAAAUGCGUAGAUAUCAGGAGGAACACCUGUGGCGAAAGCGGCGCACUGGACCACAACUGACGCUGAGGCGCGAAAGCUAGGGGAGCAAACAGG
RNAcentral lists this ribosomal RNA (253 nucleotides) under uncultured bacterium. RNAcentral's name for it is "partial 16S ribosomal RNA". It matches the Rfam family "Bacterial small subunit ribosomal RNA", at positions 524 to 776 of the family's 1533-position model. The record is from RNAcentral.